AACGCGAAGAACCUUACCAGUCCUUGACAUGCCUGUCACGUUUACCAGAGAUGGUUUACUUCGGUUCGGCCGGACAGUGCACAGUUGCUGCAUGGCUGUCGUCAGCUCGUGUCGUGAGAUGUUGGGUUAAGUCCCGCAACGAGCGCAACCCUCUUCCUUAGUUGCCACCAGGUUAUGCUGGGCACUCUAGGGACACUGCCGGUGAUAAGCCGGAGGAAGGCGAGGAUGACGUCAAGUCCUCAUGGCACUUACGGACUGGGCUACACACGUGCUACAAUGGUGGUGACAAUGGGAUGCGAACCCGCGAGGGGGAGCAAAUCUCCAAAAGCCAUCUCAGUUCAGAUUGCAGGCUGCAACUCGCCUGCAUGAAGUUGGAAUCGCUAGUAAUCGUGGAUCAGAAUGCCACGGUGAAUACGUUCCCGGGCCUUGUACACACCGAGUAUA
Molecule: ribosomal RNA, 444 nt
Filed under: uncultured bacterium
Lineage: Bacteria
Description: bacterial SSU rRNA
Rfam family: Bacterial small subunit ribosomal RNA
Source: RNAcentral